RNAcentral lists this ribosomal RNA (468 nucleotides) under uncultured bacterium. RNAcentral describes it as "partial 16S ribosomal RNA". It matches the Rfam family "Bacterial small subunit ribosomal RNA", at positions 28 to 507 of the family's 1533-position model. The record is from RNAcentral.
GACGAACGCUGGCGGCGUGCUUAACACAUGCAAGUCGAACGGAAAGGCCCUGCUUUUGUGGGGUGCUCGAGUGGCGAACGGGUGAGUAACACGUGAGUAACCUGCCCUUGACUUUGGGAUAACUUCAGGAAACUGGGGCGAAUACCGGAUAGGAGCUCCUGCUGCAUGGUGGUGGUUGGAAAGUUUCGGCGGUUGGGGAUGGACUCGCGGCUUAUCAGCUUGUUGGUGGGGUAGUGGCGUACCAAGGCUUUGACGGGUAGCCGGCCUGAGAGGGUGACCGGCCACAUUGCGACUGAGAUACGGACCAGACUCCUACGGGAGGCAGCAGUGGGGAAUAUUGCACAAUGGGCGGAAGCCUGAUGCAGAAACGCCGCGUGCGGGAUGCUGGCCUUCGGGUUGUAAACAGCUUUCGCAUGUGACGAAGCGUGCGUGACGGUAAUGGGUAAAGAAGCACCGGCUAACUACGUG